This 1184-nucleotide long non-coding RNA is filed under the name Parus major (Great Tit). RNAcentral describes it as "lncRNA (ENSPMJG00000017302.1)". The record is from RNAcentral. Lineage: Eukaryota; Metazoa; Chordata; Aves; Passeriformes; Paridae.
UGUGAUUCCUCUUUUAUUCCCUGCCUUUAAGGUGGAACAUGUUUGGGAUAAUAAUCUCUCCUUUACUAACUGGGAUCCCAGAACUAGAGCCUGAGAGCUGUGAAAUCUCAGAAUGGAGAGGCUGGCACUUGGCUUUCCCCUGGUUUUCCUUCUCCUGCCCUCCACACCUCCAUCUACUCCUUUUCCAGGGAACAAGAGGGUUUUCAUUCCAGAGAAAGCUGGGAAGAACUGCAGGAGCUGCCUGGAAGCACAGGGAUAUGACUGUCCUGCCUUCUGGACAAAGCCAGGAGUGACCCAGUUGGAGCUCAGUGAGGACCUUGAGCACGAGGUUGGACUUGAAACCUCCCAAGGAUCCUUCUGAACUGGAAUUUCUGUGAUUCCAUGGGAAUUCGGUGCCUUUUGGGGUGUUUGGGAGCACAAGCUGCCUCUCUUUUCCAUGAAAUCUCAUCCAUGAGGAAAUCACUCCCAGCAGUACAAGGCAGCAGUUGUUCCAUGGGGUUUUCUCUCUUUUCUCAGCACUAAAUGAGGGAUUGGUCCAGCACCACGAUCCUGCAGCCAGAGGUUUGUGGGAGGAAUUUCAGCCCCACGUGUGUGAUAUCAACAAUAAUUCCUGUGGCUGUGCAGAGAAUUCCAACCAUCCACGAUGAGCCCAGGAAUGUCACCUGCUCCCAUUCUUCUCCCAACAGAAACAGGAGAAGAUGCUGGGAAAUUACAGCACAAAUUUAUUUCUUUCCUCUUUCUCCUCUUUUUGUUUUCCCCAAGCUUAAGAAAAACACCCAACAAAAAAAACCCCAAAAAAACAACUUAAUUCUUUUCCUCUUCUCACAUCAACAGGAUUUGCCAGUAAUGAGGGAGGAGCAAGAUGUGUCAAAUGCCAUCCCAGAAAGCUGGAGUUGUGUUCCCAUCCCACUGAUGAGUUGGAAUCUGCUCCUUCCCAAAUCUUCAGCAUCCCAACGCUGUCCUUAGAAGGACCUGACUCCACAGCUUCCAGAAAUGGGAAUAACCAGGGCAGCUCUGAGGUUUCACUCAGCUGGAAUUACAACAAAACCCUGGAAAAGUGACCCUCCAAAGAAAUCCCUGAUCUCCUGUGACAGGGACAACCCUCAUUUCCAACCUGUUUCCAAACGUCCUGACAGUGGGCGAGUCGGGAAUGAGGGAAGCAAUAAACUGGCUCCUCAGCCACA